Molecule: ribosomal RNA, 990 nt
Filed under: uncultured bacterium
Lineage: Bacteria
Description: bacterial SSU rRNA
Rfam family: Bacterial small subunit ribosomal RNA
Source: RNAcentral
CCCACCAGUGACAGUACGAAUAACGCCAGCGAACUGUUUUAGUGCUGAUCUGGUAAGACGAACGCUAGCGGCAGGCCUAACACAUGCAAGUCGAGCGGUAGAGAGAAGCUCGUUUCUCUCGAGAGCGGCGGACGGGCAGUAACGCCUAGGAAUCUGCCUGGUAGGGGGGGAUAACGUUCGGAAACGGACGCUAAUACCGCAUACGUCCUACGGGAGAAAGCAGGGGACCUUCGGGCCUUGCGCUAUCAGAUGAGCCUAGGUCGGAUUAGCUAGUGGGUGGGGUAAUGGCUCACCAAGGCGACGAUCCGUAACUGGUCUGAGAGGAUGAUCAGUCACACUGGAACUGAGACACGGUCCAGACUCCUACGGGAGGCAGCAGUGGGGAAUAUUGGACAAUGGGCGCAAGCCUGAUCCAGCAAUGCCGCGUGUGUGAAGAAGGCCUUCGGGUUGUAAAGCACUUUUAUCAGGAACGAAAAGCGUUGGAUUAAUACUCUGACGUGCUGACGGUACCUGAGGAAUAAGCACCGGCUAACUUCGUGCCAGCAGCCGCGGUAAUACGAAGGGUGCAAGCGUUAAUCGGAAUUACUGGGCGUAAAGCGUGCGUAGAUGGUUCGCUAAGUCGGGAUGUGAAAUCCCCCGGGCUCAACCUGGGAACUGCAUCCGAUACUGGCGGACUAGAGUGUGAUAAAAGGGAUGGGCGGACCUCCCGGUGGUAGCCGGUGAAAUGCCUAAAGAUUUCGGGAAGGAACUUCGGUGGGCGAAGGGCGGUCCUUCUGAAUCAACACUGAUCGUUGAGGCACGAAAGCGUGGGGAGCAAACAUGAUUAGAUACCGCUGUAGUCCACGCCCUAACGAUGUCUACUGGGAGUGUGGUGGGUCCACUUGGCACUCAGUAUCCGAGCUAACGCGUUAGUCGACGGCUGAGGAGUACCGCCGCAGCUGACUUGAGGACUGACGGCUGCGAUAUGCGGGUUGGAAAAUGGUGCAUAUA